Molecule: ribosomal RNA, 253 nt
Filed under: uncultured bacterium
Lineage: Bacteria
Description: partial 16S ribosomal RNA
Rfam family: Bacterial small subunit ribosomal RNA
Source: RNAcentral
UACGGGGGGAGCAAGCGUUGUUCGGAUUUACUGGGCGUAAAGGGCGCGUAGGCGGUCGUGACAAGUCACUUGUGAAAUCUCCGGGCUUAACUCGGAACGGUCAAGUGAUACUGUCGGACUAGAGUACAGAAGGGCAACUGGAAUUCUCGGUGUAGCGGUGAAAUGCGUAGAUAUCGAGAGGAACACCUGCGGCGAAGGCGGGUUGCUGGGCUGAUACUGACGCUGAGGCGCGAAAGCCAGGGGAGCGAACGGG